CGAUGUCAGGCUACGUCUGCUCCAACGCCACGGCAUUCAUCAACCAGCGCAACCAAGGCAAAAGCUGCAAGUUUGUCAUCUACUACAACUUGGACUUGCAAUGGUACGACCUGGCCUCUGAGUACAUUCCCAUCUCAGAGGCCUUCAGCCGCUGCUCCGACAACAACUGCUUGGCGAUCGUGGCUAUCUUCUCUGCUAGCGGACCACCCAGGGUAAUCUACAAGACAACGGCUCCACUGCUAGGAACUGCGGCCAACCCCAACUCCGGACCUUAUG
Long non-coding RNA from Hyalella azteca, 276 nucleotides. RefSeq lists it as uncharacterized. Lineage: Eukaryota; Metazoa; Arthropoda; Malacostraca; Amphipoda; Hyalellidae. The record is from RefSeq and is a predicted model, not a curated record. The transcript is spliced from 3 exons.